This 554-nucleotide ribosomal RNA is filed under the name uncultured bacterium. RNAcentral's name for it is "bacterial SSU rRNA". It matches the Rfam family "Bacterial small subunit ribosomal RNA", at positions 102 to 674 of the family's 1533-position model. The record is from RNAcentral.
ACGGGUGAGUAACACGUAGAAAAUCUGCCUUAAGGAAGGGGACAACAGUUGGAAACGACUGCUAAUACCCUAUAUGAGCUAGACUGAAAUGUCUAUCUUGAAAGUUCCGGCGCCUUAAGAUGAGUCUGCGUCUGAUUAGCUUGUUGGUGGGGUAAUGGCCUACCAAGGCGACGACGGGUAGCUGGCCUGAGAGGAUGGUCAGCCGGACUGGGACUGAGAUACGGCCCAGACUCCUACGGGGGGCAGCAAUUAGGAAUCUUGCGCAAUGGGCGAAAGCCUGACGCAGCGACGUCGCGUGACCGAUGAAGUCUUUCGGGAUGUAAAGGUCUUUUUUGGGGGGAGAAGGAUGUGACGGUACCCCAAGAAUAAGCCCCGGCUAACUACGUGCCAGCAGCCGCGGUAAUACGUAGGGGGCGAGCGUUGUCCGAAUUCACUGGGCGUAAAGCGCGCGUAGGCGGGUUAUUAAGUUGGAGGUGAAAUCCCGGGGCUCAACCCCGGAACUGCCCCCAAAACUGGUAGCCUUGAGGUAUGGAGAGGGAAGUGGAAUUCCAGGU